Molecule: ribosomal RNA, 253 nt
Filed under: uncultured bacterium
Lineage: Bacteria
Description: partial 16S ribosomal RNA
Rfam family: Bacterial small subunit ribosomal RNA
Source: RNAcentral
UACGAAGGGGGCUAGCGUUGUUCGGAAUUACUGGGCGUAAAGCGUGCGCAGGCGGCUUCUCAAGUCAGGGGUGAAAGCCCAGAGCUUAACUCUGGAAUUGCCUUUGAGACUGAGAGGCUUGAGUACGGGAGAGGUGAGUGGAAUUCCCAGUGUAGAGGUGAAAUUCGUAGAUAUUGGGAAGAACACCGGUGGCGAAGGCGGCUCACUGGCCCGUAACUGACGCUCAUGCACGACAGCGCGGGGAUCAAACAGG